This 292-nucleotide ribosomal RNA is filed under the name uncultured bacterium. RNAcentral describes it as "partial 16S ribosomal RNA". It matches the Rfam family "Bacterial small subunit ribosomal RNA", at positions 505 to 796 of the family's 1533-position model. The record is from RNAcentral.
GUGUCAGCCGCCGCGGUAAUACGGAGGGUGCGAGCGUUGUCCGGAAUCACUGGGCGUAAAGGGCGCGUAGGCGGUCUGCUAAGCGUGCGGUGAAAGCCUGGGGCUCAACCCCAGGUCUGCCGUGCGAACUGGUGGACUUGAGCACUGUAGAGGCAGGUGGAAUUCCGGGUGUAGCGGUGGAAUGCGUAGAGAUCCGGAAGAACACCGGUGGCGAAGGCGGCCUGCUGGGCAGUUGCUGACGCUGAGGCGCGACAGCGUGGGGAGCAAACAGGAUUAGAUACCCUAGUAGUCC